ACUUCUAAAUCUGAAAUGAAAUCUAAAUUUCCAUCCUGUAGCCAUCCUGUCAUAUCUGUGCUGUGCUAGGAGGUCAUUUGUAUCAGCCAAUCAUCAUUCAGCAUUCCUGACAUCAAAGAACUAUGCUYUGAUGUGAUUGGAGGAUUAUAGUAUUAGACUUUAACAGCAUCUUAUCGGUUUAAUUAAAUAAAUUUUCUAGAUUUUUAUUAUUUAUUUGUUCAUAUUUCAGUUUUAACCUGCACCCUGUUGGCUUCAGCUCACAUCUUUUAUUUUUUAUUCAGAUUGUACAGCUGCAGUUUGUCGGAGACCAGCUGGACGUCUCUGUUCUCAGCUCUGAAGUCCAAACCGACCCAUCUGACAGAACUGAACCUGUUAGACAGCAACCUGGGAGAUUCUGCAGUGAAGGAGCUCUGUGAUUUUCUACAGACUGAAGGCUGCAGACUACAAAAAUUGGAAUUGGGGGGCUACAAUUUGCCAGAGGCCAGCUGGACUUCUCUGUUCUCAGCUCUGAAGUCCAACCCGACCCAUCUGACAUUACUGGAGCUGGGCUGGACCAACCUGGAAGAUUCUGGAGUGAAGGAGCUCUGUGGUUUUCUACAGACUGAAGGCUGCAGAUUACAACAAUUAAGAUUGAUCAGCUGCAGAUUCUCAGAGAUCAGCUGGACUUCUCUGUUCUCAGCUCUGAAGUCCAACCCGACCCAUCUGAUAGAACUGAACCUGAACAGAACCAACCUGGGAGAUUCUGGAGUGAAGGAGCUCUGUGGUUUUCUACAGACUGAAGGCUGCAGACUGGAGAUAUUGAGGUU
Poecilia reticulata (guppy) is the source of this 806-nucleotide non-coding RNA. Lineage: Eukaryota; Metazoa; Chordata; Actinopteri; Cyprinodontiformes; Poeciliidae. The record is from RefSeq and is a predicted model, not a curated record.